Molecule: ribosomal RNA, 253 nt
Filed under: uncultured bacterium
Lineage: Bacteria
Description: partial 16S ribosomal RNA
Rfam family: Bacterial small subunit ribosomal RNA
Source: RNAcentral
UACGAAGGGGGCUAGCGUUGCUCGGAAUCACUGGGCGUAAAGCGCACGUAGGCGGCUUUCUAAGUCUGGGGUGAGAUCCUGGAGCUCAACUCCAGAACUGCCUUUGAUACUGGAGAGCUUGAGUCCGGAAGAGGUGAGUGGAACUCCGAGUGUAGAGGUGAAAUUCGUAGAUAUUCGGAAGAACACCAGUGGCGAAGGCGGCUCACUGGUCCGGUACUGACGCUGAGGUGCGAAAGCGUGGGGAGCAAACAGG